This is a long non-coding RNA of Varanus komodoensis (Komodo dragon), 178 nucleotides long. RefSeq lists it as uncharacterized. The record is from RefSeq and is a predicted model, not a curated record. The transcript is spliced from 2 exons. Lineage: Eukaryota; Metazoa; Chordata; Lepidosauria; Squamata; Varanidae.
GUUCUUGUGGCAGUGAAUUCCUGGACGGCACAGAGAACCCGUCACCAUGAGGGUGCCAUGGCAAAGAGCCACGGGGUUGGCAAAAGGGGCCUGCCAGUUCCAGGAGGAGAUGGAGAGAGCAUCCUUCCAUCUACUAGCCAGAUGGAUCUGAAAUGCGAUUAAAGCCACCUGCCUCACC